UGCUCUAUAGAUGUCUGUGAUAGCCUUCGAAGCUAGAUCAGAAUUCAAGUAUUGAAUGCUCUACUGAACAAGUUCAACACUCAGCUGAGGUGUUAGAAGGUUAUGAAGUUGGUUGACAUCAGUUUCAACUCUCUCAAUCAGAAUACUGUUACACCUUACUCAAGCGUUGCGAGUGUGAUCCGGGAUAGACUGGCUUUGUUCGAGUAGAAAUCUUCCGAAUCAUCUGUUGAUCAAGUUAACUGCUUGAUCAAAAAAACAUACACAAUAAAUAGCUAUGAUCAUUUACUAUUCAUUGGCCUUCGGCCCUACCUCUCUCUCUCUUUUGUCCUUUCUUACUAUAUAAUUUAUAUAGUAUUCAUAUUCACUCCUUUAAUACCAGACCAUAGUUGUAGGGAAGGUAGACAGACCCUGGACUGGAUUUUGUAGGCAAUAUCAAUAGUGCUCCUAGAAGUCAAAGACAAAAUGCAAACAGAGAACUUGAAGACAUACAAAGCAGGCAAA
RNAcentral lists this small RNA (501 nucleotides) under Histoplasma ohiense. Its description in RNAcentral is "hypothetical lncRNA". The record is from RNAcentral. Lineage: Eukaryota; Fungi; Ascomycota; Eurotiomycetes; Onygenales; Ajellomycetaceae.